UGGGAGCGGCAGACGGGUGAGUAAUACGUUGGAACCUGCCCCAAAGUCAGGGAUAACCAGUAGAAAUAUUGGCUAAUACCGGAUAGUCACGAAAGUGUAGAGCUUUUGCGCUUUGGGAGGGGCCUGCGGUCUAUCAGCUUGUUGGUAAGGUAAUGGCUUACCAAGGCUAUGACGGAUAGCUGGUUUGAGAGAAUGAUCAGCCACAAUGGAACUGAGACACGGUCCAUACUCCUACGGGAGGCAGCAGUGAGGAAUCUUCCGCAAUGGGCGAAAGCCUGACGGAGCAACACCGCGUGAAGGAUGACGGUCGUAAGAUUGUAAACUUCUUUUCUGAGGGAAGAAUUCUGACGGUACCUCAGGAAUAAGCAUCGGCUAACUACGUGCCAGCAGCCGCGGUAAGACGUAGGAUGCAAGCGUUAUCCGGAAUUAUUGGGCAUAAAGAGUUCGUAGGCGGUUUGUUAAGUUGGAUGUUAAAUUUUUGAGCUCAACUUAAAAAAAGUAUCCAAAAUUGGCAAACUGGAGACUGGUAGAGGUAAGUGGAAUUCUGCAUGUAGGGGUAAUAUCCGUAGAU
RNAcentral lists this ribosomal RNA (571 nucleotides) under uncultured organism. Its description in RNAcentral is "bacterial SSU rRNA". It matches the Rfam family "Bacterial small subunit ribosomal RNA", at positions 90 to 695 of the family's 1533-position model. The record is from RNAcentral.